AAAUGCCAAUCCUGCACGUGGGCAGAUAAUAGCUUAUGCCAGCUUUGUUUCUUCAGUCUUAAAAGGCAGAUGAUAUAUCAGUUGAAAUCCUGUGUACUUGGUUCCCUGCCAGGCCUUGUUCAUUUAAAUUCCUGGCUUGCCCCCAGCUCAGGGAAGUGAGUCACAUUUCCCAAACCUUCCCCAAAUCCCGUCCUCAUCGAAUAAUUUCAGUUUCCCCUCAGUGUUAGUUGACAGCACACGGGGACCUGAUCGUGUUUGGAGAGAGCUCCCUCAGUAGCCUGGGAGCCAGAACAAGAAAAGAGGUGGUGGUAUGUUUAGCAACAGAAGAACUCAGUGGAACCUUGUCCCAAGAACCAUAUUUUGAUGCGAUAUCAAUCUUAACAAGCAGAACUUUUGCUUCUGGGGCUGAUCCGGAGGCUGUGAAGACCCGUGAGCUUCGCAAGCACAACCUGAUAACUCCUGUGGAUAAUUUUAACGUGAAUGCACAUUACAGAAAUCACCAAGAGUCACGGAUCCGUUUACCGAGGAGCUGAUGCUGAGAUCCUGACUCUGAGAAAAACAGAUAAAACUCUCCUGACGUCGCAAUUCCAUCAAGAAGCCUUUAUAUCAAGUGCCCUUCUCGUUGUUUUUUUAUACCCUUACUUUUCUCCUAUUUUAAUUAAAGCCAAAACAAGUGUGUUUAUGUCAUGCAGUCCUUUUUGUGGUCCUGCUGAUGUCUUUGAAAGUCCAAACACUGACUGCUAAUUACUUUAAAAGACCAUAGGUCAAGGUAACUAGUAGUGAAGUCAACAUGGCAUUUCUAUUGAUUAUGUCCUACAACCGCCUCACCUAAUUGGAACCAGUUGGCUAGUAGGUUGCUUUUUUAACUGACCUCCUUUAACCUUUAAAAUCACAAGCUACGGAGAUGCCUGUGGGUUUUGAGUCCCAUAUAAUACUGACAUUCUUUGCUUCUGAGGUUUCUUCUGAUUAGAGCUUGAGCUUCUAAAGUGACGUGACGCCGUGGAGAGCUUACAGCCAAGAGGGCCGGGGCGCGCUUCUCCAUCUGCUGAUUGAAUGCACAUGACAACAAACCACCGAGUGCAUUGCCUUCAGCAGGAGCGGGAGGAACCUUUGGUGAAGCUCUUGUAUUUAACCUUCUCUUUAACAACCAGCAUGGCCCGAAAAAAAAGAGGCUCCUUCCUUUGUUUUAGAGGGAGAAGGAAGGCAGAAGAAAGGCAGUUACUCAGAUCUUGAUUUGAACGCUGACGUACAAAGACACCGAGCUGAAUCCAUGCAAAACAACUAGAAAAUACUGCUGCUGCUUGGAAGCAGAGACAGGAAGGAGCCUGAAGGCUUCACUGGGCUGCACAGCAAGAAGUCUGAAGUGUUUGUAUCUCAGGAAAAAAAAUUGGAAUUAAUCAGUACGAAUUCACUGUAUAAAUUCUUUUAACCUACGCUCCGAUUGGUACAGGAACCUUCUGAAUUCUUCUCUGGUUAACACAUUUCCUAAUGUCUCAAUUCCGCAUAAACUUGAAAUAUGUUACUUAAUAAUAAAUUAUAAUCC
Molecule: long non-coding RNA, 1543 nt
Filed under: Calidris pugnax (ruff)
Lineage: Eukaryota; Metazoa; Chordata; Aves; Charadriiformes; Scolopacidae
Description: lncRNA (ENSCPUG00000014228.1)
Source: RNAcentral